GGGGGGGCAAGCGUUGUUCGGAAUUACUGGGCGUAAAGGGCUCGUAGGCGGCCAACUAAGUCAGACGUGAAAUCCCUCGGCUUAACCGGGGAACUGCAUCUGAUACUGGAUGGCUUGAGUUCGGGAGAGGGAUGCGGAAUUCCAGGUGUAGCGGUGAAAUGCGUAGAUAUCUGGAGGAACACCGGUGGCGAAGGCGGCAUCCUGGACCGACACUGACGCUGAGGAGCGAAAGCCAGGGGAGCAAACGGG
This 249-nucleotide ribosomal RNA is filed under the name uncultured bacterium. RNAcentral's name for it is "partial 16S ribosomal RNA". It matches the Rfam family "Bacterial small subunit ribosomal RNA", at positions 528 to 776 of the family's 1533-position model. The record is from RNAcentral.